This 497-nucleotide ribosomal RNA is filed under the name uncultured bacterium. Its description in RNAcentral is "partial 16S ribosomal RNA". It matches the Rfam family "Bacterial small subunit ribosomal RNA", at positions 28 to 507 of the family's 1533-position model. The record is from RNAcentral.
GAUGAACGCUGGCGGCGUGCCUAAUACAUGCAAGUCGAGCGAACAGACGAGGAGCUUGCUCCUCUGACGUUAGCGGCGGACGGGUGAGUAACACGUGGAUAACCUACCUAUAAGACUGGGAUAACUUCGGGAAACCGGAGCUAAUACCGAAUAAUAUAUUGAACCGCAUGGUUCAAUAGUGAAAGACGGUUUUGCUGUCACUUAUAGAUGGAUCCGCGCCGCAUUAGCUAGUUGGUAAGGUAACGGCUUACCAAGGCAACGAUGCGUAGCCGACCUGAGAGGAUGAUCGGCCACACUGGAACUGAGACACGGUCCAGACUCCUACGGGAGGCAGCAGUAGGGAAUCUUCCGCAAUGGGCGAAAGCCUGACGGAGCAACGCCGCGUGAGUGAUGAAGGUCUUCGGAUCGUAAAACUCUGUUAUUAGGGAAGAACAAAUGUGUAAGUAACUAUGCACGUCUUGACGGUACCUAAUCAGAAAGCCACGGCUAACUACGUG